Molecule: ribosomal RNA, 532 nt
Filed under: Bacillus tequilensis
Lineage: Bacteria; Bacillati; Bacillota; Bacilli; Caryophanales; Bacillaceae
Description: bacterial SSU rRNA
Rfam family: Bacterial small subunit ribosomal RNA
Source: RNAcentral
CUUCCGCAUGGUNGAAAGUCUCNCCGGAGCACGCCGCGUGAGUGAUGAAGGUUUUCGGAUCGUAAAGCUCUGUUGUUAGGGAAGAACAAGUACCGUUCGAAUAGGGCGGUCACCUUGACGGUACCUAACCAGAAAGCCACGGCUAACUACGUGCCAGCAGCCGCGGUAAUACGUAGGUGGCAAGCGUUGUCCGGAAUUAUUGGGCGUAAAGGGCUCGCAGGCGGUUUCUUAAGUCUGAUGUGAAAGCCCCCGGCUCAACCGGGGAGGGUCAUUGGAAACUGGGGAACUUGAGUGCAGAAGAGGAGAGUGGAAUUCCACGUGUAGCGGUGAAAUGCGUAGAGAUGUGGAGGAACACCAGUGGCGAAGGCGACUCUCUGGUCUGUAACUGACGCUGAGGAGCGAAAGCGUGGGGAGCGAACAGGAAUUAGAUACCCUGGUAGUCCACGCCCUAAACGAUGAGUGCUAAGUGUUAGGGGGUUUCCCGCCCCCUUACUGAUGCAGCUUAAGGCNUUAANCCACUCCGCCUGGGGGA